UACAGAGGUCUCAAGCGUUGUUCGGAAUCACUGGGCGUAAAGGGUGCGUAGGUGGCGUGGUAAGUCAGAUGUGAAAGCCCGAGGCUCAACCUCGGAACUGCAUCCGAUACUACCAUGCUAGAGUAUUGAAGGGGAAACUAGAAUUCUCGGUGUAGCAGUGAAAUGCGUAGAUAUCGAGAGGAAUACCAAAGGCGAAGGCAGGUUUCUUGGCAAUUACUGACACUGAGGCACGAAGGCCAGGGUAGCGAACGGG
This 253-nucleotide ribosomal RNA is filed under the name uncultured bacterium. RNAcentral describes it as "partial 16S ribosomal RNA". It matches the Rfam family "Bacterial small subunit ribosomal RNA", at positions 524 to 776 of the family's 1533-position model. The record is from RNAcentral.